CGAUCAUGGCUGCCAUCGGAGCAGAGGUCACCAGCUCAUUCUUCCUGCCGCCGGGAGUCGUCAGCGUCUUCAUCCUCCUCCUCCUCCUCUCCAUCUUCCUCACGUCUCUCUGCAGCGACUGUGGCAGACGUUCGUUUGAGUUGCAAGAAUCAAGUGUAGACAAACAUCCCUCAUCCCUCAUCAAAGUGGUGAAGCUGGAGGACGCCAUGACGGCCCGAGAGAAUCCCAUGAUCCACGAGAUCCAGAGCGACGAAAAAGAGAAUCACCUGAAGGAGGGAACCCGAGUCCAGGCCGCUGCACCGAGCAGCCACAUGGUGGCGCCACCGCUCAACCAAGCGGUACGAGCUGAGGAGGAAGCCUCGGCCCAGUUCACCCCGUGGAGGAGCCACCUGACGGGAGCUCACAGCCGAGAUCACAUCUACCACACCAUUGGAGAGGAGCAGGCUGCGCCAUCACCUGCGGCCAAUCAGGAGCCUCGUUCCGAAGCAGCAGCGGAGGGUCUGGGCGGCAGCAAUGUGAACUCAGUUUACGCACAAGUCAGCAAGAAGGCGACAAAGACCCCGACCGCCGCCACCGUCCAUCCACCUGAACAGGUGCAGGAGGAGGAGGAGUCACCACCGCUGCCUGGCAGGACCGCGGACGUGGAGGCAUGA
RNAcentral lists this long non-coding RNA (653 nucleotides) under Betta splendens (Siamese fighting fish). RNAcentral's name for it is "lncRNA (ENSBSLG00000002995.1)". The record is from RNAcentral. Lineage: Eukaryota; Metazoa; Chordata; Actinopteri; Anabantiformes; Osphronemidae.